This 460-nucleotide ribosomal RNA is filed under the name uncultured bacterium. RNAcentral describes it as "partial 16S ribosomal RNA". It matches the Rfam family "Bacterial small subunit ribosomal RNA", at positions 338 to 795 of the family's 1533-position model. The record is from RNAcentral.
CCUACGGGUGGCAGCAGUGAGGAAUAUUGGUCAAUGGGCGAGAGCCUGAACCAGCCAAGUCGCGUGAAGGAUGACGGCCCUACGGGUUGUAAACUUCUUUUGUCAGGGAGCAAUUUAGUCCACGUGUGGUCUUAGCUAGAGUACCUGAAGAUAAAGCAUCGGCUAACUCCGUGCCAGCAGCCGCGGUAAUACGGAGGAUGCGAACGUUAUCCGGAUUUAUUGGGUUUAAAGGGUGCGUAGGCGGAAUAUCAAGUCAGCGGUAAAAAUUCGGGGCUAAACCCCGUCGUGCCGUUGAAACUGAGGUUCUUGAGUGGGCGAGAAGUAUGCGGAAUGCGUGGUGUAGCGGUGAAAUGCAUAGAUAUCACGAAGAACUCCGAUUGCGAAGGCAGCAUACCGGCGCACAACUGACGCUGAAGCACGAAAGCGUGGGUAUCGAACAGGAUUAGAUACCCGUGUAGUC